GUGCCUAACACAUGCAAGUCGAACGCGAAAGUCCCGCAAGGGAUCAGUAGAGUGGCAAACGGGUGAGUAACGCGUGGGUGACCUGCCUUCGAGUGGGGGAUAACGUUCCGAAAGGGACGCUAAUACCGCAUGACAUCCGGUUUUUGAAGAAGCCGAAAUCAAAGCUGCGGAUCGCAAGACGUAGCACUCGAAGAGGGGCCCGCGUCCGAUUAGCUAGUUGGUGAGGUAACGGCUCACCAAGGCGACGAUCGGUAGCCGGCCUGAGAGGGCGGACGGCCACACUGGGACUGAGACACGGCCCAG
This 303-nucleotide ribosomal RNA is filed under the name uncultured bacterium. Its description in RNAcentral is "bacterial SSU rRNA". It matches the Rfam family "Bacterial small subunit ribosomal RNA", at positions 44 to 334 of the family's 1533-position model. The record is from RNAcentral.